AACCAAACUAGAAGACUAACUUCGAGUGAAGAAUUGUGAUUGAAUUUUAUAUACAUUUUAAAUGAUUCAAUUUCGAUGUUUGAUAUAUUUGAUGAUUGAUAUAUUUGACGAUUGAUAUAUUUGAUUUUCCUUAUCUGACUAAUUGUUGAUUAGUGAUGAUGAUAUAAUGUUUGUGUAAUUCACUUUGUGAUUAUUUGACUAUAUGUAACUAUUUGACUACUUGAUUCUAUUUAUUUAAAUACAUGAUUAGAUAUUCAGGUAUGUAUAUAUACUGUUAAAUAAAAUUGUAUAUACUUGUAUAAUAUUAUGUGUAGCCUUGUGACAUCAUCACGAUGGUAACUUGUGUACGAGUGAUUCACCCCUUACAAUAGUUAGUGCAGGAUUCUAAGACCUCAAGUUGAAGUUCAUUGAGAAAAGAAAAAUGGCAUUGUGAGAGACACUAAAAUAAAGAACGUUAGUGCUGAUUAGUGAUCUAGUUUAUUUUUGGAGUCCGAAGAGAAAGAUCUCUUUGAUAUGUAUUGAUGACGUUAUUGGAGUACUCUCUAGGUGACAUGUAUCUUAGUGUUUGACCAGCUUGUGAUCAUUUGUGGGUUAGAGUCUUUUGUAGGAAUUUAUCUUUUAUUAUUUCA
This 629-nucleotide long non-coding RNA is filed under the name Trifolium pratense (red clover). RNAcentral's name for it is "long non-coding RNA (TPRA_LNC009433)". Lineage: Eukaryota; Viridiplantae; Streptophyta; Magnoliopsida; Fabales; Fabaceae. The record is from RNAcentral.